UAGCCCUUUGAAUAUUUAAAGGGUCCCGCCUGCCCAGUGGCCUAAAGGCUAAACGGCCGCGGUAUCUUGACCGUGCAAAGGUAGCAUAAUCAUUUGUCUUUUAAAUGGAGACUUGUAUGAACGGCGAAACCUUUUUCAACCGUCUCCCCUCCCACCCUUCUAAAUUCCUCCUUGUGUGAAGAAGCACAAGUAACAUAGAAAGACGAGAAGACCCUGUCGAGCUUUAGCCUAUAAGUGAGCAGCAACCCAACAUAUCACCCAAAGGCUUUGGUUGGGGCAACCACGGAGAAAAAAAAUCCUCCAGAACAAAUAGAAGAAACCCCUUCACUAUUGAUAUAACCUAGAACCAGGAACUGGUAUUCGGAAAAAGUUACCGCAGGGAUAACAGCGUUAUCUUCUCUAAGAGUCCUUAUUGACGAGAAGGUUUGCGACCUCGAUGUUGGAUUGGGGCCCCCUCAGGGUGCAGAAGCUCUGAACGGUUAGACUGUUCGUCUAUUAAAGCCCU
RNAcentral lists this ribosomal RNA (505 nucleotides) under Holothuria glaberrima. RNAcentral describes it as "partial 16S ribosomal RNA". It matches the Rfam family "Bacterial large subunit ribosomal RNA", at positions 1816 to 2597 of the family's 2925-position model. Lineage: Eukaryota; Metazoa; Echinodermata; Holothuroidea; Aspidochirotida; Holothuriidae. The record is from RNAcentral.